CAGCAUGGAAGGACCACCUCGCCCCUCCCGGGCUGCCCACAUUACUCGCUCCAGCUCCCGUCUCUCAUCCAAGGCCCUUUCCACUUGGGCCUGCAGGUACUCCAGGGACUCCGGAAGAGGUUCCGGAGUCAACAUUGUCGACGCUGCUUCGUUCCUGUACGAGACCACUUUGAAGACGAAAGCCGUCAUCACCCUGCCGCCUGGAUACAUGUCCAUUUAUUACCACAAACAUACUUAUCAGCAGACAUGCAUACGUAUAUAACACAAAAAGGGUGGCAAAUAAUAAACAUGCAUAUCUCCAAAACCCCGAAGCAAAACAUACACACACAAAAAAAAACACACAUACACACAAACACACUAAAAAAGUGAAAAGAAAGAGAUCUACUUACUGUCGGACAUGUGGCAAUCCGUCACUGUCGCCACGAGCUUAAGGCCCCAGAAGCCCAGCAGCUCCAUCUCGGCCAAGGGAUUGGGCAUGCUGUACUGCACCACGGUUAUGGCCUGGUGUUGUGUAUAAUAAAUAUUUCGUGCGUGGGUGUGGGCGGAUGAUUGGUUUUGGUGGGUGAUGGGGUGUGGCAUAUAAUAUAAUAAUAAGAUAUGUUAUCAUAUUUCUUCCCACUUUGUAAAAUAAAAUUAAAAAACACGGAAGGUCUUCCCUGCUGUGCAUGCUCUGCCGUUGUCGACUACACAGCUACUACUGUCAUUAUUGUUAUCAUCAUUAUUAUUUAAUUCUACUACUCGUGCCACGAUAGCUACAAUAAACACCCCCCUCCCCCCCCGCUGCUUUUCUUAUCUUUUCCUGCCGUCUGUCACCCUUAUUACUAUUAAUAAUAAUAUUUUUUAAUAUUAUCAUCGUCACAUUUAUUAUUAUUAUUAUUAUUAUUAUUAUUUAUUAAUUUUUUUAUUGUAUCUCAUCCCUGUUAUAUAAUUUUACGAUACAUACAAGCGUGUGUACAGUACAUGUUUUCAUGUCAACAUAAUAUUUUACAUACCUUCCGGNNNNNNNNNNNNNNNNNNNNNNNNNNNNNNNNNNNNNNNNNNNNNNNNNNAAGCAGCGGCGGAGGCAGAGGCAGCAGCGACAGCGGUGGCGACAGCGGCAGCGGCUACAGAGGUGGUGGUGACAGUGGCUUUGUGGCAACGGUGGCUGCAGCGACAGCAGCUGCGGCAGGAGAGGCAGCAGCGGCGGUGGCGACGGUGGCGACGGUGGCGGCGGCGGUGGAAGCAGCGGUGGUGGCGACAGCGACAGCGGCAGCGGCAGCGGCAGCGGCGGUGGUGACGGCGGCGGCGACAGCGGCGGCGGUGGCGGCGGUGACGACGGUGGCGACAGUGGCGGCGGCGACAAAGCAGCGGCGGCAGCAGAGGCAGCAGCGACAGCGGUGCCGACAGCGGCAGCAGCUACAGAGGUGGUGGUGUCAGUGGCGGCGGCGACAAAGCAGCGGCGGAGGCAGAGGCAGCAGCGACAGUGGUGGCGACGGUGGCGACAGCGGCAGCGGCUACAGAGGUGGUGGUGAUAGUGGCUUUGCGGCGACGGUGGCUGCAGCGACAGCAGCUGCGGCAGGAGAGGCAGCAGCGGCGGUGGUGACGGUGGCGACGGUGGCGGCGGCGGUGGAAGCAGCGGGUAGUGGCGACAGCGACAGCGGCAGCGGUGGUGGUGACGGCGGCGGCGACAGCGGCGGCGGUGGCGGCGGUGGCGGCGGUAACGACGGUGGCGACAGUGGCGGCGGCGACAAAGCAGCGGCGGCGGCAGAGGCAGCAGCGACAGCGGUGCCGACAGAGGGGUGGCAACAGCGGCAGCAGCUACAGAGGUGGUGGUGUCAGUGGCAGCGGCGACAGUGGCUGCAGCGACAGCAGCUGCGGCAGCAGCGGCGGCGGCGGUGGCGGCGGUGGCGACGGUGGCGGCGGCGGUGGAAGCAGCGGUGGCGACAGCGGUGGUGACAGUGGCGGUGGCAGCGGUGGCGGCAGCGACAGCGGCCGCGGCGGCGGCAACAGCACGACAGUGGCGACACAUAGCGACACGGCAGCCCCUUUUCUCCUACUAUAUUAUACCCAUAUGCAUGCCUGAUCCCUCUCCCUCUCUCCUCCUCCUCUCACCUCGAGGGCGCGCUUCACCUCCAGCUCUGCCGCCUCUCCCAUGGUGCUCAACUCGAUGGUCUCCAGCUGCUUGCAGGACAGCAUGGAAGGACCACCUCGCCCCUCCCGGGCUGCCCACAUUACUCGCUCCAGCUCCCGUCUCUCAUCCAAGGCCCUUUCCACUUGGGCCUGCAGGUACUCCAGGGACUCCGGAAGAGGUUCCGGAGUCAACAUUGUCGACGCUGCUUCGUUCCUGUACGAGACCACUUUGAAGACGAAAGCCGUCAUCACCCUGCCGCCUGGAUACAUGUCCAUUUAUUACCACAAACAUACUUAUCAGCAGACAUGCAUACGUAUAUAACACAAAAAGGGUGGCAAAUAAUAAACAUGCAUAUCUCCAAAACCCCGAAGCAAAACAUACACACACAAAAAAAAACACACAUACACACAAACACACUAAAAAAGUGAAAAGAAAGAGAUCUACUUACUGUCGGACAUGUGGCAAUCCGUCACUGUCGCCACGAGCUUAAGGCCCCAGAAGCCCAGCAGCUCCAUCUCGGCCAAGGGAUUGGGCAUGCUGUACUGCACCACGGUUAUGGCCUGGUGUUGUGUAUAAUAAAUAUUUCGUGCGUGGGUGUGGGCGGAUGAUUGGUUUUGGUGGGUGAUGGGGUGUGGCAUAUAAUAUAAUAAUAAGAUAUGUUAUCAUAUUUCUUCCCACUUUGUAAAAUAAAAUUAAAAAACACGGAAGGUCUUCCCUGCUGUGCAUGCUCUGCCGUUGUCGACUACACAGCUACUACUGUCAUUAUUGUUAUCAUCAUUAUUAUUUAAUUCUACUACUCGUGCCACGAUAGCUACAAUAAACACCCCCCUCCCCCCCCGCUGCUUUUCUUAUCUUUUCCUGCCGUCUGUCACCCUUAUUACUAUUAAUAAUAAUAUUUUUUAAUAUUAUCAUCGUCACAUUUAUUAUUAUUAUUAUUAUUAUUAUUUAUUAAUUUUUUUAUUGUAUCUCAUCCCUGUUAUAUAAUUUUACGAUACAUACAAGCGUGUGUACAGUACAUGUUUUCAUGUCAACAUAAUNNNNNNNNNNNNNNNNNNNNNNNNNNNNNNNNNNNNNNNNNNNNNNNNNNUCACCUCGAGGGCGCGCUUCACCUCCAGCUCUGCCGCCUCUCCCAUGGUGCUCAACUCGAUGGUCUCCAGCUGCUUGCAGGACAGCAUGGAAGGACCACCUCGCCCCUCCCGGGCUGCCCACAUUACUCGCUCCAGCUCCCGUCUCUCAUCCAAGGCCCUUUCCACUUGGGCCUGCAGGUACUCCAGGGACUCCGGAAGAGGUUCCGGAGUCAACAUUGUCGACGCUGCUUCGUUCCUGUACGAGACCACUUUGAAGACGAAAGCCGUCAUCACCCUGCCGCCUGGAUACAUGUCCAUUUAUUACCACAAACAUACUUAUCAGCAGACAUGCAUACGUAUAUAACACAAAAGGGGUGGCAAAUAAUAAACAUGCAUAUCUCCAAAAAACCCCGAAGCAAAACAUACACACACAAAAAAAAAAACACACACACAAACACACUAAAAAAGUGAAAAGAAAGAGAUCUACUUACUGUCGGACAUGUGGCAAUCCGUCACUGUCGCCACGAGCUUAAGGCCCCAGAAGCCCAGCAGCUCCAUCUCGGCCAAGGGAUUGGGCAUGCUGUACUGCACCACGGUUAUGGCCUGGUGUUGUGUAUAAUAUUUCGUGCGUGGGUGUGGGCGGAUGAUUGGUUUUGGUGGGUGAUGGGGUGUGGCAUAUAAUAUAAUAAUAAGAAAUGUUAUCAUAUUUCUUCCCACUUUGUAAAAUAAAAUUAACAAAAACACGGAAGGUCUUCCCUGCUGUGCAUGCUCUGCCGUUGUCGACUACACAGCUACUACUGUCAUUAUUGUUAUCAUCAUUAUUAUUUAAUUCUACUACUCGUGCCACGAUAGCUACAAUAAACACCCCCCUCCCCCCCCGCUGCUUUUCUUAUCUUUUCCUGCCGUCUGUCACCCUUAUUACUAUUAAUAAUAAUAUUUUUUAAUAUUAUCAUCGUCACAUUUUAUUAUUAUUAUUAUUAUUAUUUAUUUAUUUUUUUAUUGUAUCUCAUCCCUGUUAUAUAAUUUUACGAUA
Molecule: long non-coding RNA, 4210 nt
Filed under: Volvox carteri
Lineage: Eukaryota; Viridiplantae; Chlorophyta; Chlorophyceae; Chlamydomonadales; Volvocaceae
Description: long non-coding RNA (VCAR_LNC000296)
Source: RNAcentral